This is a non-coding RNA of Pelobates cultripes (western spadefoot toad), 459 nucleotides long. The record is from the annotation of a GenBank genome assembly. Lineage: Eukaryota; Metazoa; Chordata; Amphibia; Anura; Pelobatidae.
CUUGUGCUGUCUGAGCAUUUUUAGAGGAAGUCUAAAUGAGACGAUAAAACAAAUCAAAUAUCAACUGAAAGUAUAUAAAGUUCCGUUCAGGCGACUAAGUGAUGCACUUGAGUCAUAUGAGUACAUCUGGUCAUACGCCUUGCUACCAGAGUCGAGCCACAACACAUCCAUGCUCCACUCGCCACGUUAUGAGAAGAGAAAGAUGGAUGGUGAGAUGUAGAAUGGGGUCACCUAGGUGCUGGUAGGGGUAAUGAGUUGUCACGUCUCCUGGGGUGGGGACACUUGGUCUUUUAUACUGUCUACACCUAUUGAUGAUUUCCACACACGUCCCAAAAAAUGUUUAAUGCAAUUACAAUGACGGCAAGCAGAGACUGGCUAUAUUCUGUCUUUCCCUGAGAUCUUAAGAUCUAGGAUAUUAAAUUGACAGACAAAAAAAACUCCACAAACUCCAAAAAAAAU